UGUCAGAGUUUAAGAAUGCAGCAGCUCGACUUGUCUUCAACCUCUCCAAGUUCUCUCACACUACAGCGCUCCACCGCUCUCUUCACUGGUUACCAGUUGCUGCCUGCAU
Molecule: long non-coding RNA, 109 nt
Organism: Etheostoma cragini (Arkansas darter)
Lineage: Eukaryota; Metazoa; Chordata; Actinopteri; Perciformes; Percidae
Exons: 3
Source: RefSeq, a predicted model, not a curated record